UACAGAGGUCCCGAGCGUUGUUCGGACUCACUGGGCGUAAAGGGUGCGUAGGUGGUUAGGUAAGUCCGAUGUGAAAUCUCCAGGCUCAACCUGGAAAUGGCAUUGGAUACUAUUUAGCUUGAGGAGUGGAGGGGGGACUGGAAUUCCUGGUGUAGCGGUGAAAUGCGUAGAUAUCUGGAGGAACACCGGUGGCGAAGGCGGCAUCCUGGACCGAUACUGACGCUGAGGAGCGAAAGCCAGGGGAGCAAACGGG
This 253-nucleotide ribosomal RNA is filed under the name uncultured bacterium. Its description in RNAcentral is "partial 16S ribosomal RNA". It matches the Rfam family "Bacterial small subunit ribosomal RNA", at positions 524 to 776 of the family's 1533-position model. The record is from RNAcentral.